GUUGCGAGCCGGGCCCCUCUGGCGGACGAUGUGUUAGAGUGCAUUGUCUGCGAUGUCGGAUCGCUCCC
Molecule: regulatory RNA element, 68 nt
Organism: Sphingopyxis bauzanensis
Lineage: Bacteria; Pseudomonadati; Pseudomonadota; Alphaproteobacteria; Sphingomonadales; Sphingopyxidaceae
Rfam family: terC RNA
Source: Rfam